This is a long non-coding RNA of Phyllostomus discolor (pale spear-nosed bat), 118 nucleotides long. RefSeq lists it as uncharacterized. The record is from RefSeq and is a predicted model, not a curated record. The transcript has 3 exons. NCBI's taxonomy places the organism in Eukaryota, Metazoa, Chordata, Mammalia, Chiroptera, Phyllostomidae.
CCAACUAGAACAAAAGUGGAUUGGACCUUGGGACAUACUCCUCACCAGCCCCCACCAUGGUGAAGAUGGCAGAAAUAAAACCUUGGAUUCAUCACACUAGAUCGGAAGAGCAAACUCC